CUUCCGUAGGUGAACCUGCGGAAGGAUCAUUACCGAGUGUAGGGUUCCUAGCGAGCCCAACCUCCCACCCGUGUUUACUGUACCUUAGUUGCUUCGGCGGGCCCGCCAUUCAUGGCCGCCGGGGGCUCUCAGCCCCGGGCCCGCGCCCGCCGGAGACACCACGAACUCUGUCUGAUCUAGUGAAGUCUGAGUUGAUUGUAUCGCAAUCAGUUAAAACUUUCAACAAUGGAUCUCUUGGUUCCGGCAUCGAUGAAGAACGCAGCGAAAUGCGAUAACUAGUGUGAAUUGCAGAAUUCCGUGAAUCAUCGAGUCUUUGAACGCACAUUGCGCCCCCUGGUAUUCCGGGGGGCAUGCCUGUCCGAGCGUCAUUGCUGCCCAUCAAGCACGGCUUGUGUGUUGGGUCGUCGUCCCCUCUCCGGGGGGGACGGGCCCCAAAGGCAGCGGCGGCACCGCGUCCGAUCCUCGAGCGUAUGGGGCUUUGUCACCCGCUCUGUAGGCCCGGCCGGCGCUUGCCGAACGCAAAUCAAUCUUUUUCCAGGUUGACCUCGGAUCAGGUAGGGAUACCCGCUGAACUUAAGCAUAUCAAUAAGCGGAGGAA
Molecule: ribosomal RNA, 598 nt
Filed under: Aspergillus flavus
Lineage: Eukaryota; Fungi; Ascomycota; Eurotiomycetes; Eurotiales; Aspergillaceae
Also listed under: 1 other name
Description: eukaryotic LSU rRNA
Rfam family: 5.8S ribosomal RNA (bases 215-368)
Source: RNAcentral